GGGCCUGUAGCAUAACGGAUAGUGCAAUCGGCUUCGGACCGGUAGAUCGGGGUUCGAAUCCCUGCAGGCUCG
Molecule: transfer RNA, 72 nt
Filed under: Nanobdellota archaeon
Lineage: Archaea; Nanobdellati; Nanobdellota
Description: tRNA-Arg
Rfam family: tRNA
About the family: Transfer RNA (tRNA) molecules are approximately 80 nucleotides in length. Their secondary structure includes four short double-helical elements and three loops (D, anti-codon, and T loops).
Source: RNAcentral